RNAcentral lists this ribosomal RNA (493 nucleotides) under uncultured bacterium. RNAcentral describes it as "bacterial SSU rRNA". It matches the Rfam family "Bacterial small subunit ribosomal RNA", at positions 9 to 547 of the family's 1533-position model. The record is from RNAcentral.
GAGUUUGAUCCUGGCUCAGAAACGAACGCUGGCGGCAGGCCUAACACAUGCAAGUCGAACGAAGUCUUCGGACUUAGUGGCAGACGGGUGAGUAACGCGUGGGAACCUACCUGGAGGUUCGGAAUAACUCGGGGAAACUCGGGCUAAUACCGGAUACGCCCUUACGGGGAAAGAUUUAUCGCCUUUAGAUGGGCCCGCGUUGGAUUAGCUUGUUGGUGAGGUAAAAGCUCACCAAGGCGACGAUCCAUAGCUGGUCUGAGAGGAUGAUCAGCCACACUGGGACUGAGACACGGCCCAGACUCCUACGGGAGGCAGCAGUGAGGAAUAUUCGGCAAUGGGCGCAAGCCUGACCGAGCCAUGCCGCGUGAGUGAAGAAGGCCCUAGGGUUGUAAAGCUCUUUCACCGAUGAAGAUAAUGACGGUAGUCGGAGAAGAAGCCCCGGCUAACUUCGUGCCAGCAGCCGCGGUAAUACGAAGGGGGCUAGCGUUGUUCG